Molecule: long non-coding RNA, 34296 nt
Filed under: Citrus maxima (pomelo)
Lineage: Eukaryota; Viridiplantae; Streptophyta; Magnoliopsida; Sapindales; Rutaceae
Description: long non-coding RNA (CMAX_LNC000995)
Source: RNAcentral
CAUUCAGAACGAAGUUCUUGAUGUCGCGUUAUUUAAUAUAUUAGUUUUUUCACUCCUUUGUAAAUAUUCACACAAACAUAUACAAUAAAUUUUUAAUUUCGCCGAUCCGAUCAAACAUCCUGGACCCACCGCUGAUGUCAUCCGAAGGUGAGGAAGCUUCUGCAGAAGUUGUGGUUAGUGAUAUUCUUGCCAGCACAAGAUAAUUAAUUACUAGGAAAGAAAUAAUAAAAAAUUUUAUUAAUUACGAAACUGAUAACUAUAUAUUAAAUGUUGAGUGUUAGAAAAUGUAUAUUUAUGAAGGAGAAAAUCAUCAUUUUACAUUUCAAGUCUUACUAACACCCUUACUUUUAUGUAUUUAAGCUUAUUGUAAUUUAAUUACGUGUGUUUUAUUUUAAUUAAGUAUUUUAUGUAUUUUAGGGGCAUCAUAGUCAUUUCACAAUAAAUGAGAAAUCAUACGCCAAAACGGACAUCACUUUUGAACUCAGGACAGUCGAAAACUUUAGGAGGAACAUAAAAGGAAGAAUGUCACUGUUCACAUGUACAGUGCUAUUUACAUGUACGAUAUUGUCUACGUUACUGUUCAUGACACUAUUCACAUAGACGGAAUGAUGACGUGGCAUUGACCGAUGAUGUGGCAUUGACUGAUGAGGUGUCACGAUCCUAUUGGACUAAAAUUCUUAUGUACUAUUGAUCGAUGACGUGGCAGCAUAUCAGUGGACCAAAAAUCUCGCGUAUGGUACAUGCAUUACACAAGAUUAUUUUCAACCAAACCGUAUUACUAUUCAAACCGCGUGGUCAAACCACGUACUGUUGACUGAUGACGUGGCGCAAUCCUGAGCGUCUGAAAUGUUUUUGAUUCGAUGACCAUGAUUUACUCAAUGUAUCUAUAAAAAGGGGGCUCUCCCCCCUUAAUUUGUUAUCUCUGAAUCCAAUUUUGGGCUCCAUUUUCUGUAAUUCCUUCUUCAUCUUUUAUUUUCUACGUAUUUUAAUAAAUUUCCAUUUUGCCCCUAGAUCAAUUGUGAGUAGCUAAUUUUCUUUCAAGCUUGGGUUGAAGGUGAAGUCUCAACAUAUGUCAUGCGCUCUAUUUGGUAAAUUUAUUUUCUCUUCCCCUCUAGUUUUUGUGGAUGUUUUGACUUCUCGUCGACAAAUAAUAAUAAUCUUGUCUAGAUACCAUCCUGAUUUCACCGACUCCCUAGUACAAGGUUAUUAUUAUUUGGCACAAUAAGCCCUUAGCACCAUAUUGAUUAUAGUGUGGUUCAUGAGGUGUGGAUUCCCCCCUCAUGAUUUAAUUGACAUUAAUAAGGAAUAUUUAGGCCAUGGUGCAUGUUGAUACGGAUCCAGAUACCCAAGUGUUUCAUUUCAAUAGAUUUCUCUUCAAUUUAUUCUCGCCAUUUCAAUUCACUUUCACCACAAAUCCAAACAUCCAUUUAGAAAAAUUAAUUCUACACACAAUUAGAAUCAACCUCCUCGUGGGAUCGACACUCGUCACCAUUAAUCUAUUCUACAAUAGAUUCUUGCACUUGCGAGUUCAAUAAAAUUUGCACAACAUUAGACACACUAUAAUUUUAUGAAAACUGAAGAUCCAUACUAAUAUAAAACUAAAACCACCAUUAAUUAUAUUAUACUAUAACAACAAAUCCAGGAUAUAUUAACAAACACGUCGAUUUUGAAGCUGAAUUUAUAAUCUAAUCUUAACUCUAUUUCUUCUGUAUUUACAUAAUCAUCCUGCUAAUUAAGGAUUUACAACUUUGCCAUGAAAGGUCGGUGGCUCCAUGCCUUUUUCUUCUUCUCGUCACAAAUUUUUCUUUUGCUUCCACUUCACCAUUAAAGAACAUCCCAAAGCUUGGUGCUGUUCGUGGAAGGACUAUUUUUCAAAACCCUAGCAAAAAAAUCCACAAAGUUACUAUUAUGAUCAAACACUUGAUCACUUUAACUAUAAUCCACAAAGUUAUUUAACUUUUCCUCAUAGAUAUGCGUUGAACUUCAAGCAUUGGGGCGGUGGCAGAGCCAUGGCGGCGCCGAUAUUGGCAUAUCUUGGUGAAGAGAGUAGUCUUGAUAUGAUGACCUUGGUGGCAUUGGAUGGCUUGCUGAUAAUGCUCAUCGAUUUAAAGCCUUACAAGUUUACAUAGAGGUAAGUAAAGAAUUUGUUAUCAGGCUAGCUUGAUAAUAAUUAAAAUAGAGUUUGCGUAUGAAAUAAUAAUAAUAAAGACAAAUCUUAAUCAGAAUAUUCUACAAUAUGAACUGAAAAGUUGUGAUGGAUUUUUUUUUAAUUCAAUUUUUUAUGCAGUAUCGGUUCUAUGGAAAAUCAGUACCUUUUGUAUCAAGCAAAGAUGCCCUAAAAAAUGCAACUCUUCGUGGAUAUUUAAACUCUGGUCAAGCUUUGGCAGAUUAUGCAAAGAUUCUCUUACACAUCAAGGAAAAUUUAUCGGCCGAAAUGUCACCCAUUAUCGUCGUUGGAGCAUCUUAUCGAGGAAGUAAAUUUUAAUAUUAUUAACUUACUUACAUCUUUUGAUUAAUGUCGUGUCAUUUGUUGCACCAUUUUAUUCAUUUUGAUCUCGUUUGACCAAAAUAUUGAUUACGCCAAUAUUAUUUUGAUACAAAUUUAUUUUGCAUUCCAAUUAAUGAAUACUUUCAUCGAUCGUAAAAUUAAAAAAUACUAAAUAUAUUUAAGAUAAUUACGUUUUUAAAAUUAACCAUCUCAAUUCAUCCUAUUUUAUCAAAUCUGGGAUGUGAUAUGGUUUUGAGAGUUACUCAAUUGUGGGUUUGUUAUCACCAGUGCUUGCAGCAUGGUUUCGCUUGAAGUAUCCUCAGAGUCUUUGGGAGCAGUUGCCUCGCCCGCCCCAAUUCUCUACUUUGAUAAUAUCACACCAUCAAACGCAUAUUAUGAUCUUGUCACCAAUGACUUUAGGGUAAGAAACAAAAUUAAUUAAUUAAAAUUCUAUAUAUGUAUGAUUAUGUUUUCUUGUUAAAAUUUAACCAUUGAAUUUUGAAAAUUAAUGAUGCAGGAAGCCAGCGAGAGCUGCUACAUGACCAUCAAACAGUCCUGGGUUGAAAUGGAUAAAACCGCUGCUAGAAAAAAUGGACUUGCUUUUCUCUCUAAAAAGUUCAAAACCUGCAAGAAAUUAAUCAUAUUACUUUACAUAAUUGCUUAUAUAUAUAUCCAUCCGAUUUUCCCUUAAUAACAAUUAAUGCAAUGUUAUUGUAGCAUCAUUAUCGAAUGUACUAUGUCUAAUUAAUUAUCUGUCAUCCUCAGAGUAUAUAUACAUUUCGAUUAACGUGUAAUAUACAAAGUAAAAAUCUGGAUUUGGGCUUAUACACGGCCUUUGCAUUACCAUAUAUAUAGUAUACUGGUGCUUAGAUUCAGCCCUCCAGAGGUUCGUAUUUUACAGAAUCUAAAUUUGAACUACAAAACCACGCACAACUCUAAUUAUCAAAUAAGGCCAAAUUUGUACGUUUGCAUUUGAUAAUAUCAAUAGCUUCAUACUUAUGAAGUUUAUUGUAAUCUAACUAAAUAUAACAACAUUUUUUAGACGGCAUGUUGAAAGAUCUUUUAUAAUGUUACUAACCUUGUGGCACUUAAUUCUAUGUUGUUGUUGUUUAUUUGAUUACAAGCCUCUGAAGGAUGUUUCAGAAUUGAAGGAUUAUUUAGAGUGUAUGUAUACGGGUGCAGCUCAGUAUGAUGAUCCUCAGGAAUAUCCACUGAACAAAGCUUGUGAAGGUAUCGAUGGAGCUUCAGAAGGCACGGAUACCCUAGGCCGGAUAUUCUCAGGAAUUGUUGCUUUAAGAUGGGAGAAUUCUUGCCAUGAUGUUGAUGAAUUCUUAUCCGAUGAAACACUAGACUCGAGCUGGGGCUGGCAGGUAUGUGAUUACGGGUGACAUGAUUUCAUUAGAUACUUCUAUUGAGAUCGUCAAACAAACAUCAUGUUGCGAUGAAUGAAUCUCUCACCUAACAAUACCUAUUUUAUGUACAUCUCUUAAUUUUAUUUAUGAGACUACAUAUUUAUGAAUGAUUAAAAAUAAUUUUCUCCUUUAUUUAGUUAUUUAUUUAUUAUGAUUUUUUUUUUGGGAGGGGCGCCGGGGGGGGGGGGGGGAGGGGAUUUUUCAUGCAGAUAUGCAGUGAAAUGGUCUCAUCGAUUGGAAUUGACAAAAAUAGUACAAUUUUCAAGCAGACGAUAGAAUAUAUGAAUUCAUGCAAUAAGUCUUAUGGAGUGGCUCCAAUACCACAUUGGAUUACAACUUAUUACGACAGUCAUGUAAGUGUCAAUUAAUCCCCAAAUUAAUUCUUUUAAUAAUUUAAUUUUUUUCAUUUUCUUUUUUAAUCAUAAAUUUUAUCUCAAUUUUUGUUCGAUUUUUAUUUCUUUUUAAUUUGCAUGGUAUAAGAGUGGUUGUAAAGAGAUUUGGUAGCAACCUUAUUUUCUCUAAUGGCUUUCGUGAUCCCUAUAGCAGCGCUGGGUAAUUAAGCUUAAGAAUUUUGGACAUUCUUUUCUAUCAAAGUUACCUAUUUAAUUAUAUACCUUUUUCUUUUCUUCUUCUUUUGUUUUUUUUUUCUGAGAUUACAGUGUUCUGGAAGAUAUAUCAGAUAGCAUAAUAGCAGUGAUAACAAAAAAUGGUAUGUAAAUGUUUCUGUAAAAUAAAAAAAUUAGUGUUCAAUUAUUAACUAAAUUAUUGGAUAACAUAAUUAAUAAUGUGUAAAUUAGAGCAGGUUCCCAUUGCUUAGACAUACAGCCAGCAACAGGAGAUGAUCCAGAGUGGUUAGUAAUGCAGCGAGAGAUUGAAGUGGACAUGGUUCAUGAUUGGAUCCUUAAAUACUCUGCAGAUUUGCUUCAAAAUCAGAGCAUAAGAUUAAAUUGGGACUGCAAAAUUAGUUUUUUCUUUUUCUUCCUCUCGUCUAUCUUUCUAAUAUUUAUGGAGCAAAGAUAAAUAAUAGAGCACCUAGCUAGUUUAAGAGUUCAUUUUCAUUAUUCUUAAUCUGGGUUGUCUAAAUGUGUAGAACAAGUGUGCAGUAUUACUUAAUGUAAAGCACAUAUAAAGGGCUCAAUCUUUAUGUAAUAAUCAUAUGGUGAAUAUCAAUUCAUGUACAAUCACAUUGAAUUAACCAUUUUCUCCCUUUGAUUUAGGAGUUACUGUAUAGGUCGUUGAAGCCGGUGACAGUAAAAGAAUUUGCUCUCCAUGUACAUGUAUCUCUCAUUCUCAACCUGUUCCUAUGCUUCUACAUAAUAGCUUCUUUUGUUAAUUAUUUGACAAUCUCAUGCAAUUCCAAACAUGACUUAGAAUCAGUUUGAGAUUCCGGUGGCUAUUGAAAUAAACUACUUCUGUUAUGCAGAUAAAAUAAGCUAAUGAUUAUAAAAAUAGCUCGCUCAGUGUUUGGUAAAUUCAAUUACAAAAGAACUAUUUUAUUAUAUAAUCACUAAAAUAAUUAUAAGUUUAAAUUGUCAUUUAUUUAUAUAUUAGCAUUUAUAAAAAAAGUAAGAUACAAUUAUUCUUUUCUUAGUUAUAAUAAAAACUUUAAAAAAUAUGGCAUUUUAUUUAAUAAGUUGCUUCUAAAAUAAUCCCAUACUUGUUUUAAAAGCUAUUGUCAAAAUAGAGAAAAUAUAAAUUAACUUUUAACAAAUUUACCAAACAUUAUUUUUAUCAAAACUUUAAAAUAAACUGUUUAUAGUAUUUCAACUGUAAUCCCAAAUAGGACAUUAGUCUUUGUUCAAAAUAAGGUUAGACAUUGAAUAUGUGUACACGUAUAAACGAAAAUAUCUAGACUGAAGAAACAUCUCGACUUAAUAAGUCUGCUUCAUUCUUUUUUUUCCACAGCAUAUGUCAAGAGUAAGUUCAAAAUCAUUGCUGACUAGGGGAAGAAGUCUUCAAAGUCAAGGUGAUUAGAUUAGCAGGUCACGAAAUUAUGUAUCGGAGGGGUUCCCUGCCCUCAACUUAAAAAGAUGCCUUAAAAUUAAAUAUUAAAUAAUAUGGCAUUUAUUAAAUUUAAAAAAUAUAAAAAAAUUAAAAGAAAACCUUUUUUUAAGUAAUGUUUGACUAAUGAUUUUGCGUAUCGACUUUGAAUGACCAUGAUAGUAUUUUAAAGAUAAGAAAAGUGGAUUCAAAUGUGGUAUGAUUUAAAAAUAUGGUUAAGAGGUAUGUGAAUAUGAGUAUAAUGAUUGUUUUUGAAAUCAUUAGACAAUACCCUUCCCUCCAGAUACAGUGAUACAGAUAAUAUGAGAUGAGAGGCCAUUGGGGCCCGUCUGAACACACAUAGAGGCUUUGGGCCGUGUGUUUGGGCGCUUUUGCCUUUUGGGGGCAUAUGCAUGCGGUAUGAUGAUUACAGAGAUACAGAUAUGAGAUACAGACAUAUAUUGAGAUACGGAUGAUACAGAUAUGAGAUACAGACAUAUAUUGAGAUACAGAUGAUACAGAUGAGAUACAGGCCUUUGGGGCCCGUCUGAGUACACACAUAGGCCUUGGGCCGUGUGCUUGGGCGUUUUUGUCCUUUGGGGACCAGAUUAUGCAUGCACAGAUAUGAUGAGAUAUGAGAUGGUAUUUUCCUGUCUAUCCGUGUAGCUCCGGGGCGUGACGUUACCCAGAUAGUACGUCAUUGCCCGUCCGUUGAGGUCCGGAUAUGACGAGAUUAUUUCCCUAGGUACUUGUUUGAUGAUGAUUUUCAGAUUUGUGAAUUAUAUAUGAUAUUGUGAUAUGAUUUCCAUGGUUAGUAAUCUGAUUUAAAUGUUUAAUGAUUUAUUUAUGGUUUCUCGCUUAUGGUUUAAUGAAAGCGUGCUUGGAAAUGGUAUGAUGAUUUCUUUUAAAGUAAGAAUUAAUUUUCAAAACUACUAUCCACUCACUGAUCUCACUGAGUUUUAGACUCAUCCCGUUUUUAUUAUAUUUUCCCCCCCUCACCAGGAGGUUGCAGGUACACCAGACCGACCCAGCGACUGUAAAUAUAUUUUGAGUCUUGGCCACGUGAUGAUGUUAGAAGAUAUAACUGUUUUUAUUAGGACAUCUUGGUUAUCUCGUCCUGGUGGGAUUGUAUAAUUUUUGUUAUAUUAUUCUUUUGGGAUUAAGAAUUGAGAUAUUAAUAUUAGUUAUAAUGUUAUCUUUUGAGACUCUAGAGAUAUAAAACUCAGCAUUUUGGUUGAGGAUGUUGACCACUGGAAUUUGUUGUAUAUUGAAUUGUAUUGGGAGUGUUAUAUUCAUAUUUGUAGAUUGGGAGUGUUAUAUAUAUAAAUGAGACUCUAACGAAUUUUCGGCAGAAUCGAAUUAUUAUCAAGUCCGUUUUGAUGAGACUAGAUAGACUUGCCUGGGGGGAUUCGGGGCGGGUCGUUUCACGUCCACUUGGAUCUAUCUGAUAAUCACCUCCUAGGACAUAUCCCUCCAACUCUUGGUCGUCUAAGCAAAUUGAAAAUUUUGAACUUGUCUUUUAACUCCCUUGUCGGUAAUAUCCCAUCCAAUGUAGGUCAUCUAACCCAGCUAACUACUUUGGCUGUUGCCUCAAACCGAAUGAAUGGUUCCAUCCCAUUAGGAAUCGGGAGUUUGAAGGUUCUUCAAGUUCUUGACCUGUCCAUAAAUGAAAUUGGAGGUUCAAUUCCUUCAACACUUUAAAGUGGUUGAGAAGUGUAGACUUGUCCCAAAACAAACUUGUUGGCCCAAUCCCUUCGUCUCUAGGUCAUUUGACUCAGCUAACUACUUUGAAUAUGUACAACAACAAACUUGAUGGGCUAAUUCCUCCAGAACUCAUGAAUUGCUCAAAGUUGAGGAUAUUAAAAUUGGGAAACAACUUGUUAAGCGGAAGCAUUCCGUCACAGAUCGGCAAACUUCAAGAACUAUAUUAUCUUGAUCUAAGCGGUAACUUCAUUAAUGGUAAAAUACCUUCCCAACUUGGAGAAUUUCCACUCAUAAACACCAUGGACCUUUCCAUGAAUAACCUUUCCUGUGGAAUCCCUGUAUUUAUCAGAAAAGUGCCACACUUAGAUGUGUCAGGCAAUAAAUUCGGAGUAGAAAUCCCAACUACUUUGGUAAAUGCGCCACCGCCACAUCACAAAAAGAUUGCCACUCGCUUGGUUGCAAUUAUUCUUGCUAUAGUCGCAUUCCCUGCCUUGAUAUUUGGAAUCUUGAUUAUCCGUAGACAAAGGGAUAAAGAAGUUGAACCAGCUGGGACAGGAGAAAUUACCAAGUGCGCUGAUGAGUUUGCAAUUUGGAAUUACGAUGGUAGAAUUACAUUUCAAGACAUGAUUGACGCCACUGAGGAUUUCGAUAUCAAAUACUGCAUUGGAACGGGAGGCUACAGCAGCGUUUACAGGGCACGACUGCCCAGUGGAAAAGUAGUUGCUUUGAAGAAGAUUCACCGUUCAGAAACUGAGGAGUUAGCUUCCCUGGAGAGUUUCCGGAAUGAGGCUCGUCUACUGUCCCAAAUACGGCAUCGAAAUAUCGUAAAGCUUUACGGCUUUUGUUUGCACGAGAAAUGCAUGUUCUUAAUCUAUGAGUACAUGGAAAUGGGAAGCUUGUUCUGUGCUCUACGCACAGAUGAGGAAGCUGUUGGGUUGGAUUGGACUAAAAGGGUGAACAUUGUGAAGGGUAUGGCUCAUGCUUUGUCAUACUUGCAUCAUCACUGCACACCACCAAUUGUUCACCGGGACAUAUUAAGCAACAACAUUCUACUCAACUCAGAAUUAGAAGCAUUUGUUGUGGACUUUGGCAUUGCUAGAUUGUUAAAUUUCGACUCAUCCAACCGAACUAUGUUAGCUGGCACUUUCGGAUAAAUUGCUCCAGGUCCUCCUCUAGCUAUUCCUCUUAUGCUUCUUUAAUUAUCCUCUUAAUUAAUUUUUAUUUGUACUCUGCCAAGUAGUUUUUAAGCAGCUUUAUUUAGGUCGCUACUUGGUUCGAAUUUUGAAAAAGCUAAGGGGCUAAAAAUAAAUUUGACUUUGCCUACCCCUUUACUUUUAAAACACACACACUCUGAACAUAAGUUAAAACAUAAGUUUCUUUGUCAUAACUUGCUGCGGAAGCUAAAAAACAUGAACAAAUUGUUCUUGUUAUUAUUUAUGGAAACAUUACUAAUGAAGGCCUUUGUUUCCUAUAGAACUUGCCUACACCAUGGUUGUGACAGAGAAAUGUGAUGUUUAUAGUUUUGGAGUGGUGGCACUAGAAGUACUAAUGGGAAGGCAUCCAGAAGCGCUCCUCUCAUCGUCAUCUUCAUCAUUGGAUAAAAAUAUAAAGCUGAUUGAUUUGCUGGACCCCCGCCUCUCACCUCCGGUGGAUCAAAAGAUUAGGCAGGAUAUCAUUCUUGUUUCAACAGUAGCAUUUUCAUGCUUGCGUUCGCAACCAAAGUCUCGACCUACAAUGCAACUCGUGUCCAACGAAUUUAUCGCUCGCAAUAAGGCACCGAUGCAGAAACCUUUUCAUGAAAUUUCAAUUUUGGAGCUUAGAAACCAAGAAAUGUAUGUGGUUGAUUAAUGUGAUUUUUCCAAUAAAGGAGACUGUUAAUUGGUUGUGAAAUUAUUAGGUAGUAGUAAUGUAGCAAAUAUUAUGUGUUCGACGAAUUGUCUGCCUUAGUAUUUUUUAAUUCCAUUCACACUACGACAUUAAUCUCCUUUGUAAAGCUAGUACUUUCGCAGUUCACUCUGAUAAAAUAUGGUUUGUCUAAUUGUCUCCAUCUCAAUGAUCUGAAUUAACCAGCAUAUUAAGGAAUUUAAGGUUGUGUCUCUACAAGUUAAAAAGGGUAAAUUGUCAUUCUAAUUAUUAGUUUGUUUUACAAAUUAUAUAUAAAAAUUUCAUUCAGAACGAAGUUAUUGAUGUCGCGUUAUUUAAUAUAUUAGUUUUUUCACUCCUUUGUAAAUAUUCACACAAACAUAUACAAUAAAAUUUUAAUUUAGCCGAUCCGAUCAAACAUCCUGGACCCACCGCUGAUGUCAUCCGAAGGUGAGGAAGCUUCUGCAGAAGUUGUGGUUAGUGAUAUUCUUGCCAGCACAAGAUAAUUAAUUACUAGGAAAGAAAUAAUAAAAAAUUUUAUUAAUUACGAAACUGAUGACUAUAUAUUAGACACACUAUAAUUUUAUGAAAACUGAAGAUUCAUACUAAUAUAAAACUAAAAGCAACAUUAAUUAUAUUAUACGAUAACAACAAAUCCAGGAUAUAUUAACAAACACGUCGAUUUUGAAGCUGAAUUUAUAAUCUAAUCUUAACUCUAUUUCUUCUGUAUUUACAUAAUCAUCCUGCUAAUUAAGGAUUUACAACUUUGCCAUGAAAGGUCGGUGGCUCCAUCUUCAAAUCUCUAAGUAGUUUUUCCUUGGCCUUGUGCUUCUUGCCUUGGAGAUGCACGUCUAGACCUCUCUCGGUAGUAGCAGUGACCUGACAGAGGGCACAACUCCACUCCUUGGGUUUGCUUGAACUCGUUGAAGGAAGCUCUCUAGAACCUGCAGGUGGUGUGCCAGCUUUCUGCUUUGAUCCACAAACACUGGUAUCAGGCUUAGGCUGGAAAUGAUACCCAAACACAGAAACCACAAUGCCUUAUAUUAGUUAUCACAUCAAUGGUAAAAAUGAAAAAUAUUUCCAGUGAACUCCAUCAUCUGCUAUUGCAGUACAGAUGAAAGAAUUUGUUUACAAAAUGAUAAUGUGCAAAUUUUAUUUUAAAUUGUGAAUUCUCAAGAAAGGUAGGAAUGUAGAAGUAUAUUCAAAUAGUUAAUACAACCAGAAUCCUUGUUUAUUAAUAACAUUUCCAGCAUUGAACUAGGAAAAUAUCUCCAUCCCAAAAAAGAAAAAAAAAAGGAAUAUGUUUGAAUAGGAUUACGAAAUACUUUCUUAAUAAGCUGGACAAGGAGAGAUGAUAUCUUAUGAGCAUUAUAAUUCAUAAUUUGAGGAAAAACCAUUUUAAUGGAGCUUCCAGCCCAUCGCACAUACACAAACACAAUCAAUAAGAUUUAACAUAAGAAAUUACCGGGAAAAAGAAACAUCACAAAUCAAUCUGUACAAGUUCAUGUGACACUUCAUGGUAAACAUAUGUAACCUCUCUUGGAAACUUAGCUUGUGACAAGCUCACAUUUUCUCUGUGUUUUCGUUCAAAAAAGGCUUCAGACACACAUUAAUUCCAGGCUGUGGAGGAUCAUAUGUCCUCAUUGCCCAAAUUUUUAAAGCCACAUACAUUGGCAUUUGCACGCAUGGUCAAUGAGUUACACAACUCUGUUGUCUACUUGAGUUGACCAAGCAAACUGAAUUUGUGAACUUUGACCGACAUAAAUAACCCAAUGCUAACAUGUUUGGAAUUAAAUCAAGAUUGUGAGUCCAAAUGUACUCCCCGACAAACUUGUCACCUGUGCAUCAAGACAAAGUCUUAUAGCACUAAGAAUGAACAUGUGAACCUCUAAGCAACAACCUCCUAAUAACAUAAAAAUCAAGGUUGGUGUGGGAUAAAGCCAUUCAAAUGGACAUGUAAAGGGUAACUUUGAUGAAUAAGGGUUUAAGAGAAACAAUCUUAUCACAGAGUAUUUCAAUUGGAGCGGAUGAAGAAACUAACAUGAAACAAACUCACUUAUCUCUAUUUAUUUUUCAAUUUUCAUAGAUCCAAAAUCUAAAAUUAUCAUUUUGAGCUACCCUCAAUUAGUAAGCACUGCAUUGUCACUGCUUUCUUCUGAAAUUUUCCAUCAGCAGAAAAUCUCUAACAAAUCAAAACAAGACUUACCAAGUUUCAUAAGUAUCAAAACAAAAACGAGCAAAGGUCCACAGGGAAGUUCUAGAAUGAAAAAUACUAAUGACGUUGUUACAGUGAAUCUCAGGGUCCAUUUUUCGUGAGGUUAAUGAUUGCAUUCUGGGUUGUGUUGCUAUCAGUCUUUAGUGUUCAUUCAUCUUUUUAUGGUAAGUUGCAUGCAUUUGUUUUGUCUUCAGAGGUUAUGGUGUCAAAUUGAGCGGACACACGUUUGGCUUAUAGAUGAUAUGACCCUGAAACUAUGUCGCAGCUGUUGCUUGUUUUCAGCAUUCUAAUCAUUCACCAACUUGGGAUCUUCAAGUCCGUUGGUGGAAUUAUUUGCACCAUCCAAGUCUUGACGUGCACCCCUUGAUUAUACUCGGUGGGAUAAAUUUUGCACUUAUUUAAAAAAAAUAAAUAAAUAAAGAAUCCCCUGUGGGGAAGUCAAAAUGCAAACACGAAUUGAUUAGUGAAGAGGACACAGUAAUUUGACACGAUAAUUAAUCAUCUCGUUAUGAUGUGUUAGUGUCUAAUUCACAAAUUCGGGUAAUAACCGUCUUAUGAAGUGUCUAAUUUUAUUGCUCCGUUAAUAAAGUGUACUUGGGCUAGCUACGUUACCCCAGCGGUUGGAUUUCCAUUGCUUCCAAUGAGUCAAUACAAAGGCUUAUAGCAUUAGCAUGAUUAACAUAUAUUGCAGCAUCGUAAACAAUGAUUGGAAUCCUGAGAUCUUUGGUAACAUGAUUAUAGACAAUUACGACCAUGUUUGGAUAGCUUAGUUUAAAAAUUACAACAUUAAAAUAUCAGGUAAAUAUUAGUUGUUGUAACUAAAAAAAAUUAUUAUAUUUUUUAUUUUACACUUAUAUGAUAAAAAAUUUAUUUUUUUUAUUGAUUUUGUCAAAAUUAUUAUUUAAAAAUUAUAUAUUCACUGCAUACUAAAUUAAGUUAAUUACUAGGAAAUAAUUAAUUACAAGUUAAUUAAAUUAGAAAUAUGUGUCCAACCAUUAAAACUACGUAUAUCAAGUUAGUUAAUUACUAAGGAAAGAAUUAAUAACAAAUUUUCAUCGCUACGUAUUUAAUUACGAAACUGAUAACUAUAUAUUAGAAAAACUAUAAUUUUAUGAAAACUAAAGAUCAUUACUAAUAUAAAACUAAAACCAACAAUAAUUAUAUGAUAGGAUAACAACAAAUCCAGAAUAGAUUAACAAACACGUCGAUUCUGAAGCUGAAUUUAUAACCGAAUCUUAAUUCUAUUUCUUCUGUAUUUACAUAAUCAUCCUGCUAAUUAAAGAUUUACAACUUUGCCGUGGAAGGUCGGUGGCUUCCAUGCCUUUUUUCUUCUUCUCCUCACAAAUUUUGCUUUUGCUUCCACUUUACCAUUAAAGAACAUCCCAAAGCUUGGUGUUGUGCGUGGAAGGACUAUUUUUCUAAACCCUAGUAAAAAAAUAUCAACUUCAGAACCAGAGGGUGAUCUCGAAACUUAAUAUUAUGAUCAAAUACUUGAUCACUUUAACUAUUAUCCACAAAGUUAUUUAACUUUUCCUCAUAGAUAUGCGUUGAACUUCAAGCAUUGGGGCGGUGGCAGACCCAUGGCGGCGCCGAUAUUGGCAUAUCUUGGUGAAGAGAGUAGUCUUAAUAUGAUGACCUUGGUGGCAUUGGAUGGCUUACUGAUAAUGCUCAUCGAUUUAAAGCCUUACAAGUUUACAUAGAGGUAAGUAAAGAAUUUGUUAUCAGGCUAGCUUGAUAAUAAUUGAAAUAGAGUUCGCAUACGAAAUAAUAAUAAUAAAGACAAAUCCUAAUCAGAAUAUUCUACAAUAUGAACUAAAAAGUUGUGAUGGAUUUUUUUUUAAUUCAAUUUUUUAUGCAGUAUCGGUUCUAUGGAAAAUCAGUACCUUUUGUAUCAAGCAAAGAUGCCCUAAAGAAUGCAACUCUUCGUGGAUAUUUCAACUCUGGUCAAGCUUUGGCACAUUAUGCAAAGAUUCUCUUACACAUCAAGGAAAAUUUAUCGGCCGAAAUGUCUCCCAUUAUCGUUGUUGGAGCAUCUUAUAGAGGAAGUAAAUUUUAAUAUUAUUAACUUACUUACAUCUUUUGAUUAAUGUCGUGUCAUUUGUUGCAUCAUUUUAUUCAUUUUGAUCUCGUUUGACCAAAAUAUUGAUUACGCCAAUAUUAUUUUGAUACAAAUUUAUUUUGCAUUCCAAUUAAUGAAUACUUUCAGCGAUCGUAAAAUUAAGAAAUAGUAAACAUAUUUAAGAUAAUUACGUUUUUAAAAAUAACCAUCUCAAUUCAUCCUAUUUUAUCAGAUCUGGGUAGGGAUGGCAAUGGGGUGGGGUGGGGGUGGGGAGGCCUACCUCAUUCCCCACCCCAUUCCCCAAUAAAUUUAGUGGGGUGGGGAUGGAGAAUCCCCAUGUGGGGAAUGAUUUCCCCAUCCCCACCCCAUUCCCCAUUUAUCUAUUUUAUAAUAUGUAUAAAUAUAUUAUUUUAGUAAGUUAAAAAUUAGAGACUUAAAAUAAAAUCAUCAUCAUAUUAUAAAGUAUUUAAAUUCUUUUAAAAAAAUAUCUAAAAAUUUGAAACAAUAUCUUAAAAUGAUAUUAAAAGUGAAAAAUAUUUAAAGAGCGUAACACCUUAAAAGAGAAAAGAAAAUAUAACAAUGUUUCAGAGUUGAAAAAUAUUAUAGGAUUUUCUUUCAUUCAUAUCUUGUUUAUGUUGCAUAAAAAUUAAAAAAAAUUAUUAAUUGACAUUAUAAUUGAUAAAAUAAAAAUUAUUAAAUAAGAAUUAAAAAUAUAUUUAUAUAUAAUGGGGAUUGGGAUUGGGGUGGGGGUGGGGUGGGGAGUAUAAAACCAAACCCCACCCCAUUAAGAAUUUGGGGAUUAUUUUCUCCCCACUCCCCACCCCAUUCCCCAAAAAUUAUUCAAAAUUUUUUCCAUUUGGGGUGGGGCUCCAUAGGACCCCAAACCCGUGGAGAAUUUUGCCAUCCCUAGAUCUGGGAUGUGAUAUGGUUUUGAGAGUUACUCAUUUGUGGGUUUGUUAUCACCAGUGCUUGCAGCAUGGUUUCGCUUUCCUCACAGUGCUUUGGGAGCAGUUGCCUCGUCCGCCCCAAUUAUCUAGUUUGAUAAUAUCACACCCUCAAACGCAUAUUAUGAUCUUGUCACCAAUGACUUUAGGGUAAGAAAUAAAAUUAAUUAAUUAAAAUUCUAUAUAUGUAUGAUUGUGUUUUCUUGUUAAAAUUUAACCAUUAAAUUUUGAAAAUUAAUGAUGCAAGAAGCCAGGGAGAGCUGCUACAUGACCAUCAAACAGUCCUGGGCUGAAAUGGAUAAAACCGCUGCUAGAAAAAAUGGACUUGCUUCUCUCUCUAAAAAGUUCAAAACCUGCAAGAAAUUAAUCAUAUUACUUUACAUAACUGCUUAUAUAUAUCCAUCCGAUUUUCCCUUAAGUACAAUUAAUGCAAUGUUAUUGUAGCAUCAUUAUCGAAUGUACUAUGUCUAAUUAAUUAUCUGACAUUCUCAGAGUAUAUAUACAUUUCGAUUAACGUGUAAUAUACAAAGUAAAAAUCUGGAUUUGGGCUUAUACACGGCCUUUGCAUUACCCCAUAUAUAGUAUACUGGUGCUUCGAUUCAGCCCUCCAGAGGUUCGUAUUUUACAGAAUCUAAAUUUGAACUACAAAACCACGCACAACUCUGAUUAUCAAAUAAGGCCAAAUUUGUACGUUUGCAUUUGAUAAUAUCAAUAGCUUCAUACUUAUAAAGUUUAUUGUAAUCUAACUAAAUAUAACAACAUUUUUUAGACGGCAUGUUGAAAGAUCUUUUAUAAUGUUACUAACCUUGUGGCACUUAAUUCUAUGUUGUUGUUGUUGUUUAUUUGAUUACAAGCCUCUGAAGGAUGUUUCAGAAUUGAAGGAUUAUUUAGAGUGUAUGUAUACGGGUGCAGCUCAGUAUGAUGAUCCUCAGGAAUAUCCAGUGAACAAAGCUUGUGAAGGUAUCGAUGGAGCUUCAGAAGGCACGGAUACCCUAGGCUGGAUAUUCUCAGGAAUUGUUGCUUUAAGAGGGGAGAAUUCUUGCCAUGAUGUUGAUGAAUUCUUAUCCGAUGAAACACUAGACUCGAGCUGGGGCUGGCAGGUAUGUGAUUACGGGUGACAUGAUUUCAUUAGAUACUUCUAUUGAGAUCGUCAAACAAACAACAUGUUGCGAUGAAUGAAUCUCUCACCUAACAAUACCUAUUUUAUGUACAUCUCUUAAUUUUAUUUAUGAGACUACAUAUUUAUGAAUGAUUAAAAAUAGUUUUCUCCUUUAUUUAGUUAUUUAUUUAUUAUGAUUCUUUUUUUGUUUUGGGAGGGGCGGGGAGGGGGGGGGUUUCUCAUGCAGACAUGCAGUGAAAUGGUCUCAUCGAUUGGAAUUGACAAAAAUAAUACAAUUUUCAAGCAGACGAUAGAAUAUAUGAAUUCAUGCAAUAAGUCUUAUGGAGUGGCUACAAUACCACAUUGGAUUACAACUUAUUACGGCAGUCAUGUAAGUGUCAAUUAAUCCCCAAAUUAAUUCUUUUAAUAAUUUAAUUUUUUUCAUUUUCUUUUUUAAUUAUAAAUUUUAUCUCAAUUUUUGUUCGAUUUUUAUUUCUUUUUAAUUUGCAUGGUAUAAGAGUGGUUGUAAAGAGAUUUGGUAGCAACCUUAUUUUCUCUAAUGGCUUUCGUGAUCCCUAUAGCAGCGCUGGGUAAUUAAGCUUAAGAAUUUUGGACAUUCUUUUCUAUCAAAGUUACCUAUUUAAUUAUAUACCUUUUUCUUUUUCUUUUGUUUUUUUUUUUUUUUUUGAGAUUACAGUGUUCUGGAAGAUAUAUCAGAUAGCAUAAUAGCAGUGAUAACAAAAAAUGGUAUGUAAAUGUUUCUGUAAAAUAAAAAAAUUAGUGUUCAAUUGUUUGAGGGAAAUACUCCGACGAGACCAGACGUGAUGAGCAGAUGUUUGGUGGCAGAAGUCUGCGAGCAGGUGUGUCCUGUAAGAGCCAGGUAGCAGGGGAACAGGGGCAGGAAUAUCCUGCUCAUCCACGAGCACGUCAUCCGCGAGGCCAAUUUCCUGUAAGAAGCAUAAAGCCAUUCCUGCUGUAUUCUUGCUAAGGGUUGAUUCGAGGAGACCCGGUCAAUGACAGUUGGCGAGGCAUGCUCUCCAGCCCGAGAAUCUAGGCACGAAGGCCACGCAACCACCCACGACUACGGAAAUGGGGAAUCCACGUUCGAGAGGUGGGAGGAUAACGGGCGUAGACUGCGAAAAACUGGGAUUCAGAGGAAGCCUAUAAAAAGGUAGCCAAUGAAGGUAAAGGGGUUAGCAAUUUUGAGAUUAGAAGGGAGAUAAAGAAAUUCUAAAGAAGAGAAAACUACCCAAAAGCCAUAAGAUCUGUGACAAGCGUUCCCCGAACCUUAAUAUCUGACUUGAGCGUCAGAGGGUUUGCACCGGGAAAACAACCGGCGUACUCUGACUUGUCUGUGUGUGCAGGAACCUCUGGAGAAGAAGCUUUACGAGGAGAGAUCCUGGUCGUGGUGAAGUUGAUCGAGCAGAGACCCUGGUCGUAGAACGAGGAGAACCAGAAUCUCGCAUCAACAUUUUGGCACCGUCUGUGGGGAGCUGAUCAAAAAGCUUAUGUUGAUAGCAAGAAGAGGAGUGAAGUAAGUGAAAAGCGAUGGAAACAGGGGAAGCAAUGCAGAUAACAUCCCUCGAUACCCGAGUGGAAAACAAGAAUGGCAGACAAGAACCUGUAGAGGAUCUGGAAACUGUAAGCCUAGGACCAGAGAAUCCGGGAAAGACAAUCAGAAUCGGGUCGAGACUUAAGGGAGAGCAAAAGCAGGAGUUGGUGAAAUGCUUACAGGCUCAUGCAGAUGUGUUUGCUUGGACACAUGAAGACAUGCCAGGGAUUGACCCUGAGGUAGCAUGUCAUAAGCUGGCAGUAAAGAAAGGUGCUCGGACAGUAAGGUAGAAGAGGAGGUGCUUCAACCAGGAGAGGUAUGAGGCUAUAAAUGGCGAGGUGGAGAAGCUCUUGAGAGCAGGGUUCAUUCGGGAAGUCAAUUACCCUGAAUGGAUAUCGAAUGUGGUGUUGGUAAAGAAAGCGAAUGGCAAGUGGAGGAUGUGUGUGGAUUUCACAGACCUCAAUAAGGCGUGCCCAAAGGACAGCUUCCCUUUGCCAAAGAUCGAUCAGCUAGUAGAUUCAACGGCUGGACACGCUCUGCCUAGCUUCAUGGACGCGUUCUCGGGAUACAACCAGAUCCCCAUGUACGAGCAGGACGAGGAGAGCACGGCUUUCAUCACUAACCAGGGUUUGUUCUAUUACAGGGUAAUGCCAUUUGGUCUCAAAAAUACUGGGGCCACCUAUCAGAGGAUGGUGAACAAAGUCUUUAAGCCGUUGAUUGGGAAAACCAUGGAGGUGUACGUGGAUGACAUGAUCACCAAGUCCAAAAUCCCGAAGGAACAUGUCAGACACCUCGAGGAGACAUUUGAGCUUUUGAGGAAGUAUAAGAUGAAGCUCAACCCGGAGAAAUGUGCUUUUGGGGUCGAGUCGGGGAAGUUCCUUGGAUUCAUGGUGAGUCAUCGGGGGAUCGAAGCAAAUCCCGAGAAGAUCUAGGCGAUCGUGCAGAUGAGGUCUCCUCGUAGCCUGAAGGAAAUACAAAGCCUUACGGGGAGAUUGGCGGCAUUAAGCCGGUUCAUAUCCAAGGCUACAGAUAAGUGUCAACCAUUCUUUCAAGUGAUAAGGAGGGGAAAGAAAACAGAGUGGACCCCGGAAUGCGAGGAAGCCUUUCAGAACUUGAAGCAGUAUUUACAGCAAGCCCCUCUGCUAUCCACACCGAGGGAUGGGGACAAGUUAUUUUUGUAUCUGGCGAUAUCGGAUCGGGCCGCCAGUUCUGUUCUGGUGAGAGAGGAAGAAGGAGUUCAGUAUCCACUAUACUACACCAGCAAGGCCCUGCUCGACGCUGAGACCAGAUACCCACCGUUGGAGAAAUGGGCACUUGCCCUUGUGGUUGCUGCUCGGAAGUUGAGGCCAUAUUUUCAGGCAUUCCCAGUCUCGGUUAUAACAAACCAGCCAUUGCGUCAAACUCUGCACAAGCCCGAUGCUUCUGGUUGGCUCGUCAAGUGGGCUAUAGAGCUGAGCGAGUUCGACAUAGACUACAAACCCCGAGCAGCGAUAAGGGCUCAAGCAAUGGCCAAUUUCGUAGCAGAAUUCACAGAGCCUGAAGUAUGUUUAGACCAACAAGAUGUAGUUGCAGACAAUGGCGAAGCUCAAGUAUGGCAAAUGUCUGUAGAUGGGUCAUCAGGGGAGCAGGGAUUGUAUUGGAAGGCCCGGAGGGGGAGGAGAUCUCUUAUGCUGUAAAGUUAGAAUUCACAGCAACAAAUAACCAGGCAGAGUAUGAAGCCUUGAUAGCAGGAUUGGAACUGGCUAAGGCCGUGAGAGCAGAUAGAGUGAAGAUCAGAACUGAUUCCCAGCUGGUUGCGAAUCAUGUCAGUGAAAGAUUCCAACCAAGAGAGAAGAAGAUGGAGCAGUACUUGAAGAUAGUCAGGCAGAUGAUGGGAAAAUUCGAAGCGGUGGAAGUAGUACAAAUCCCAAGGGAGCAGAAUAGUCGAGCCGAUAUUUUGGCCAGGAUGGCAGCGGUAGCAGACCCAAAAAUGCCAAAGUCGAUCCCUCUAGAGGUGAAGUCCAGCCCGAGCAUCGAGCCGAAUUCAGGGGUACUGCGGAUAGAACAAAAAUGCUCGUGGAUGGACCCGAUAGUUUCAUACCUUAGAGACGGGGUAUUACCACCAGAUAAGCUGCGAGCUCGGAAGAUUAGAGCCCAGGCCUCGAGAUACACGAUGAUUGAUGGGAUACUGUAUCGGCGAGGAUAUACACUACCUUUCCUUCGAUGUUUGGAUGAGGACGACGCGGAUUACGUCCUGAGAGAAGUACAUGAAGGAAUUUGCGGGAAUCAUUCUGGUGGGAGAUCCCUGGCCCACAAGGUUCUAAGGCAGGGAUAUUUCUGGCCGACAAUGCACCAGGAUGCACAGGAGAAGACCAAGAGCUGUGUAAGCUGCCAGAGUUUUGCAAGUUUCCCCAACCAACCACCAGAGAAGCUCACCUCUAUGGCCUCCCCUUGGCCAUUUGCUCAAUGGGGAAUUGAUCUGAUCGGCCCGCUGCCAAAGGGACGAGGAGCAGCAACGCAUGCAAUAGUUGCUAUAGAUUACUUCACGAAGUGGAUAGAGGUCGAAGCCCUUAGUAGGAUUACAGAGAAGAAAACGACAGACUUUGUGUGGAGAAACCUGGUCUGUCGAUACGGGAUCCCUUAUGCCUUGGUAACGGAUAAUGGCAGGCAGUUCGAUAAUCACAGCUUCAGGGAUUUCUGCCAGAACCUCGGGAUAGAGCUGAAGUAUUGCUCGCCUGCUCACCCUCAAUCGAAUGGACAAGUAGAAGCAGCCAACAAGACCAUCAAGAGACUUUUGAAAACCAGGCUUGGAGCAAAAAAUGGUACAUGGGUUGAUGAGCUGUCAGGUGUCCUAUGGGCAUACAGGACAACCCACAAAACAGCAACUGGGGAGACACCGUUCGCCCUGGCUUUCGGACAUGAAGCGGUCGUACCAGCUGAGAUAGGAACGACCACGCACCGGACAGACCAUUUCAAUGAGCAGGAGAACGACGAGCAGAUGUGUUUGAAUAUUGAUCUGCUAACGAAGAAGAGGGAGCAAGCAGCUGGUCGAUCAGCCAUUUACCAGCAAAGGGUUGCUCGUUAUUAUAACCAGAAGGUGAAUGUACGGCAAUUCAAGGUCGGAGACUGGGUACUGAGAAGAGUGAAUCAGAGCACCAAAGAUUCGACUCAAGGAGUGCUGGGACCGAAUUGGGAAGGGCCAUAUAGAGUCAAGCAGAUAGUGGGACCCGGAGCUUACAAGCUGGUUCGCACAGACGGCCACGAGGUGAAACGCCCAUGGAACGCAGCACACCUCCGAAAAUACUUCCAGUAAGACUUGUUCACAUUUGAAAGCUAUUUCUGCUCGUGUUCAUUAUCGUUUAUCUUUUAUGUUUUAUAUCCAAACAAUUUCAUGUAAGUCGAAUCCUGCCAUUAAUGGAACGUCGAGGAAUUUCAUUCGCUUGAAACUGUGAAAAUUUCCUAAGGCAUGCAAAGGCUCGUCAAGUCUCAAAGCCUGUUUAUGGCGAGACCAGAAGCCAAGCGUGCCAAGAUCUGCUCGGCCACGAGAAGGCGAGCAAAAUCCCAAGCUUUGAAGAAAUUGCCUAAGGCAUGCAAAGGCUCGACAAAGUCUCAAAGCCUGUUUAUGGCGAGACCAGAAGCCAAGCGUGCCAGGAUCUGCUCGGCCACGAGAAGACGAGCAGAAUCCCAAGCUUUGAAGAAAUUGCCUAAGGCAUGCAAAGGCUCGACAAAGUCUCAAAGCCUGUUUAUGGCGAGACCAGAAGCCAAGCGUGCCAGGAUCUGCUCGGCCACGAGAAGGCGAGCAGAAUCCCAAGCUUUGAAGAAAUUAUCUAAGGCAUGCAAAGGCUCGACAAAGUCUCAAAUCCUGUUUAUGGCGAGACCAGAAGCCAAGCGUGCCAGGAUGUGCUUGGCCACAAGAAGGCGAGCAGAAUCCCAAGCUUUGAAGAAAUUACCUAAGGCAUGCAAAGGCUCGUCAAGUCUCAAAGCCUGUUUAUGGCGAGACCAGAAGCCAAGCGUGCCAGGAUCUGCUCGGCCACGAGAAGGCGAGCAGAAUCCCAAGCUUUGAAGAAAUUACCUAAGGCAUGCAAAGGCUCGACAAAGUCUCAAAGCCUGUUUAUGGCGAGACCAGAAGCCAAGCGUGCCAGGAUCUGCUCGGCCACGAGAAGGCGAGCAGAAUCCCAAGCUUUGAAGAAAUUACCUAAGGCAUGCAAAGGCUCGACAAAGUCUCAAAGCCUGUUUAUGGCGAGACCAGAUGCCAAGCGUGCCAGGAUCUGCUCGGCCACGAGAAGGCGAGCAGAAUCCCAAGCUUUGAAGAAAUUGCCUAAGGCAUGCAAAGACUCGACAAAGUCUCAAAGCCUGUUUAUGGCGAGACCAGAAGCCAAGCGUGCCAGGAUCUGCUCGGCCACGAGAAGGCGAGCAGAAUCCCAAGCUUUGAAGAAAUUACGUAAGGCAUGCAAAGGCUCGACAAGUCUCAAAGCCUGUUUAUGGCGAGACCAGAAGCCAAGCGUGCCAAGAUUGGCUCGGCCACGAGAAGGCGAGCAGAAUCCCAAGCAUUGAAGAAUCUUCCAAGGCAUGUGGCAAAACCAUAUACCAAGCCAGAGCCUGCUCGAGCGGACGAAGACGAGCAGAUUCUCAAGCGGAAAAAUAACUCGUAAUUACAAUACAAGAGAGUAAUAAAAAACAUUUCUAUUAAUUUGUUAAUAAUUAACAAAGCAGAUAAUCUUCACAAAUAUUGUUCGUUACAAUACAAGAAACAUAUUUAAGAAGACGGUGGGUCCGCAAGCCGAGCAGCCUCAGUUAGCUGGUCCACCUCAGGUGCUGGGGGAGUAUCUCCAGUUGCGUCUGGGGGGGUACUCGCCUCACCAGCAUCAGCAGGGAUUACACCGGGAGGAGAGUUUUCCUCCUCUAUCACCAUUGGUGCCACCUCUUCGGCAUCCUCCUUUGCAGCCUCCUCGUCCAUAUGUUGGGCGACACCAGCUGCAAGGUCGUCCGUCUUUAGAUCAGGAUGCUGCUUCCCGAGGACGGCCAUGAUGCAACGAUAAGAAUGCCGAAGUCCCUAGUCGUACUGGUUGUCGGCCUCCUUUUCCAAGUUCUCGACCCGAGCUCGGUGGGAAUCGCGAAGAGAUUCGAGCUGAGCCUCAUACAUAGCCUUCUGCCUUUGAAGAUCCUCCUUGACCUUGGCCAGCUCUUCCUCGAGAGUAAUAGCCUUGGCUUGAGCAAGAGAUUCUCGCUCAAUCAACUUCAGAUUCUCGAGGUUUAAGUCCCCUGCUUUCUUCUCAGCAACGUCAGCUCUGGUCGUCGCCGACUGAAUGUCCUCCUUCAUCUUCCUAUCAUAACGGCCAACCUUGGCCUUAUAGUAGGUGGUCAUGCAGCUGAGAUGGAAAGCGCUAUACUGCAUGGCCCCCACCAGCUCGCCUAAGGUGCAGCCAUCAAAGUCCUCGAGGUCCUCCUUGCUCACAAGUUUGGAAAGCUCGUUGAGAUAGGGGGCCAAGUGUUCUGCUCAGCUGUCAGGUAAACGAGAUCUAUGCCCGACAGGAGGCGAAGAGGAAGCAGGAUCAGUGGCUGCUCCACUGGUCUCGCCGAGUUUGGCAGAAGGAGGAGGUAAAGUCUUCAACGGAGAGACCUGCUGCACGAUGUUGGCCCGCUUUGCAGUAGGGGCAUCCCUGUUCUGGUCCCUCUUCGUGGUUUGGGGUCGAGAACGUUUCCUGUUUAGAGCCCCAAUCACGGCGUCCUCCAUCUUAUGGCCAGGAAGUACCAAGCGAGACUCAAGCAAGUUGUAAGUAGUUAGCAGUUCUCGGCUCGAGCAGGAAUUGGCGAGUACAGCCUCGACCCAUUUGAGCUGGUUAGGUUGGAGCGGGAAGUGAACACCCCAAGAAACUACAACACAAACAGACACUUGGUUAGAGACAAGCCAAUAAAGCAAGAACAAUUAUGGAUACAAGACAUCUAAAGCGAGCAGGCAACCUGGGACCGUGAAACGGGGUGGGACGCGACAAUCCUUCCCGUCUAUUUGUGCAACUUGACCCCAAGGACCCCCAGCAAAAAAGAAUUUCCUUUUCCAGUCCCACACAACCAAGAACCGCUAAGUUUCUACUGCUGGUCCAUUACAUUACCCAACACCAGAAACUGGGGGACCGGUGUUUGAGGGAAAUACUCCGACGAGACCAGACGUGAUGAGCAGAUGUUUGGUGGCAGAAGUCUGCGAGCAGGUGUGUCCUGUAAGAGCCAGGUAGCAGGGGAACAGGGGCAGGAAUAUCCUGCUCAUCCACGAGCACGUCAUCCGCGAGGCCAAUUUCCUGUAAGAAGCAUAAAGCCAUUCUUGCUGUAUUCUUGCUAAGGGUUGAUUCGAGGAGACCCGGUCAACGACAGUUGGCGAGGCAUGCUCUCCAGCCCGAGAAUCUAGGCACAAAGGCCACGCAACCACCCACGACUACGGAAAUGGGGAAUCCACGUUCGAGAGGUGGGAGGAUAACGGGCGUAGACUGCGAAAAACUGGGAUUCAGAGGAAGCCUAUAAAAAGGUAGCCAACGAAGGUAAAGGGGUUAGCAAUUUUGAGAUUAGAAGGGAGAUAAAGAAAUUCUAAAGAAGAGAAAACUACCCAAAAGCCAUAAGAUCUGUGGCAAGCGUUCCCCGAACCUUCAUAUCUGACUUGAGCAUCGGAGGGUUUGCGCCGGGAAAACAACCGGCGUACUCUGACUUGUCUGUGUGUGCAGGAACCUCUGGAGAAGAAGCUUUACGAGGAGAGAUCCUGGUCGUGGUGAAGUUGAUCGAGCAGAGACCCUGGUCGUAGAACGAGGAGAACCAGAAUCUCGCAUCAACAUCAAUUAUUAACUAAAUUAUUCGAUAACAUAAUUAAUAAUGUGUAAAUUAGAGCAGGUUCCCAUUGCUUAGACAUACAUCCAGCAGCAGAAGAUGAUCCAGAGUGGUUAGUAAUGCAGCGAAAGAUUGAAGUGGACAUGGUUCAUGAUUGGAUCCUUAAAUACUCUGCAGAUUUGCUUCAAAAUCAGAGCAUAAGAUUAAAUUGGGACUGCAAAAUUAGUUUUUUCUUUUUCUUCCUCUCGUCUAUCUUUCUAAUAUUUAUGGAGCAAAGAUAAAUAAUAGAGCACCUAGCUAGUUUAAGAGUUCAUUUUCAUUAUUCUUAAUCUGGGUUGUCUAAAUGUGUAGAACAAGUGUGCAGUAUUACUUAAUGUAAAGCACAUAUAAAGGGCUCAAUCUUUAUGUAAUAAUCAUAUGGUGAAUAUCAAUUCAUGUACAAUCACAUUGAAUUAACCAUUUUCUCCCUUUGAUUUAGGAGUUACUGUAUAGGUCGUUGAAGCCGGUGACAGUAAAAGAAUUUGCUCUCCAUGUACAUGUAUCUCUCAUUCUCAACCUGUUCCUAUGCUUCUACAUAAUAGCUUCUUUUGUUAAUUAUUUGACAAUCUCAUGCAAUUCCAAACAUGACUUAGAAUCAGUUUGAGAUUCCGGUGGCUAUUGAAAUAAACUACUUCUAUUAUGCGGAUAAAAUAAGCUAAUGAUUAUAAAAGUAGCUCGCUCAGUGUUUGGUAAAUUCAAUUACGAAAGAACUAUUUUAUUAUAUAAUCACUAAAAUAAUUAUAAGUUUAAAUUGUCUUUUAUUUAUAUAUUAGGAUUUAUAAAAAAAAGGUAAUAUACAAUUAUUCUUUUCUUAGUUAUAAAGAAACUUUAAAAAAUGCAUUUUAUUUAAUAAGUUGCUUCUAAAAAUAAUCCCAUACUUGUUUUAAAAGCUAUUGUCAAAAUAGAGAAAAUAUAAAUUAACUUUUAACAAAUUUACCAAACAUUAUUUUUAUCAAAACUUAUAAAAUAAAUUGUUUAUAGUAUUUCAACUGUAAUCCCAAAUACGGCAUUAGUCUUUGUUCAAAAUAAGGUUAGACAUUGAAUAUGUGUACACGUAUAAACGAAAAUAUCUAGACUGAAGAAACAUCUCGACUUAAAUAAGUCUGCUUCAUUCUUUUUUUUCCACAGCAUAUGUCAAGACGUAAGUUCCAAAUCAUUGCUGACUAGGGGAAGAAGUCUUCAAAGUCAAGGUGAUUAGAUUAGCAGGUCACGAAAUUACGUAUGGGAGGGGUUCCCUGCCCUCAACUUAAAAAGAUGCCUUAAAAUUAAAUAUUAAAUAAUAUGGCAUUUGUUAAAUUUAAAAAAUAUAAAAAAAAUUAAAAAGAAAACCUUUUUUUAAGUGCCCAGAGGUUUGAACGGCAACUAUAGGAUUGUUUCACGAUGAACUUCAAAUGUGCAAGACUAAGGCAGGCCUAUCACGAUUUGGGCCAACUUUGGUAUACUCAGGAAGGGGCACGGAAGAGGGAGCAUUUUGGUUUAUAUUUUACUCAUACACACAUGAGUAAUUAUAUACAAACCUUUCAUGCCUUCACUACCUUUUUCAUGUGGGACAAAUGUAUUUUCCUUUAAUUUUCCAAUUAUAUACAAACCUUUCAUGCCUUCACUACCUUUUUCAUGUGGGACAAAUGUAUUUUCCUUUAAUUUUCCAAUUCCAUGAAUUUACUUUCAGUUACCAUUUCUCAUUUAUCCAAGGAUCAUUUUGAUCAUAUAGAUAAAACCAUUUUGAAGUAUUUACAGAGAAAUAUUUGAAACAAUUUUAACUUUUCACUUACACCACAUAGGUCUCACUCAAAAUCACGCCUCAAAUAGCCACUUGUGCUAUAUUUCCAACACCUUCUGUCUCUUUUCCUUAUUGAUCGCAUGCAAAAAAAUUGAGUGCAAUGAAAUUUUUUAUAUUCUUUCGUCUAUGAUGUUUUUGUGUAAAAAAUAAUAAAAUUCAAAUGGAUGUUAAGUAGCCCAUGAAUUUCCAUAGUUUGUAUGUUACAAAAGGAGCUUUGUAACUAUUUUAAAAAAUAAACAGAUUAUUUUGAUUAUUUUGUCAAAUCACAGGAGUUUCUACAUGUUUUUUUAUACAAAUUAAAUUCACACAAAGAUAUGAUUAGUCUUGUUUAUUUUCCUAUUUGAGUCAUAAUUUACAACAAGAACUCUUUGAGCUUUUUAUUUAUUUUAUUAUUUUGGGUGAUAUUUAGUAUCUUAAUAAUGCUAUUAACUAUUUCUAAUAUUUUCCAUAUUAUCUUAUAUUUCUGCAAUGUUAUUCAAAUAGAUUUAUAAGCUAAAGCCAAUAAGCCAAUUGGAUAGUACUAUUGAGACCGUCAAAUAAACAACAUGUCGCAAUGAAUGAGUCUUUCGUCUAACAAUACUUAUUUUAUGUACAUCUCUAAAUUUUAUUUAUGAGAAUACAUAUUUAUAAAUGAUUAAAAAUAAUUUUCUUCUUCAUCUUAUUUAUUUAUUAUUUUUUUUUUUUAGGGAGGGGGAGUGCCAUCCAGACAUACAGUGAAAUGGUCUCACCAAUUGGAAUUGGCAAAAACGACACAAUGUUUCAAACAUACUCAUUUAAUCUGACAGAAUAUAUGAAUUCAUGCAAUAAGUCUUAUGGAGUGGUUCCCAGACCACAUUAGAUUACAACAUAUUACGGCGGUCAUGUAAGUAUUGAUUAAUCCCCAAAUUAAUUCUUUUAAUAAUUUAAUUUUUCUCAUUUUCUUUUUUAAUUAUAAAGUUUACCUCAAUUGUUGUUUGAUUUCUAUUUCUUUUUAAUUUGCAAGAUAUAAGAGUGGUUUUAAAGAGAUUUGGUAGCAACAUUAUUUUACCUAAUGGCCUUCGUGAUAUGAUCCCUAUAGCAGCGAGGGGUAAUUAAGCUUAAAAAUUUUAUACUCUUUUCUAUCGAAGUUACCCGUUUAAUUAUAUGCCUUAUUCUUUUUCUUCUCUUUUUUUUUGGUGGGGGGGGGGGGGGGGAGAUUAUAGGGUUUUGGAAGAUAUCAGACAAUAUAAUAGCAGCGACAACAAGAAACAGUAUGUAAAUUUUUCUAUAAAAUAAAAAAUAAGUGUUCAAUUAUUAACUAAAUUAAAUUAUUCGAUAACAUAAUUAAUAGUGUGUAAAGUGGAGCAGGUUCCCAUUGCUUAGACAUACAACCAGCAAUAGAAGACGACCCAUAAUGGUUAGCAGUGCACAGUGCAGCGAAAGAUUGAAGUGGACAUGCUUCAUGGUUGGAUCCUCAAAUAUUUUGCAGAUUUGCUUCAAAAUCAGAGCAUAAGAUUAAUUUGUGACUACAAAAUUAGUUUUUUUCUUUUUCUUCAUCUCCUCUAUCUUUCUAAUAUUUAUGGAGCAAAGAUAAAUAAUAAUAGUGCACCUAGCUAGUUUGGAUUUGGUUGUAAUUUUCAUAAUCCUUACUCUGAGUUGUCUAAAUGUGUAGAACAGGUGUGCAGUAUUAGUUAAUGUAAAACACUUAAGGCUCAAUCUUUAUGUAAUAAUCAUAUGGUGAAUAUCAAUUCAUAUUCAAUCAGAUGAAUUAACUAUUUCCUCCCUUCGAUUUAAGAGUUACUGUAUAGGUCCUUGAAGCCGGAGGUAGUCAAAGAUUUGCCCUCCACACACACACACACAUAUAAAAAUAUUCAAAUUCAGAAUUUUAAAAUGCGGGAACGUUUGGGAAAACGCAUAAACUGUGCAGUUUAAGUGCUUUAAGUAUUAGACCUUUAAAACCCCGCAGUUUUAAAGUUUUUCCUAAUGUUUCCCACACUUUAAGAUCCUGUACCAAAAAACUACUAUAUAUAUAUAUAUAUUAGGUGUUUAAGCUUGUAUGCUCCGUUUAUUAGUAGCCAAGCUUGCGAGUAUAUUGCUUCUGGUGAACCUCUUCCUAUUCUUCUCCUUAAUAGCUAUUUCUCUUAAUUAUUUGACAAUCUAAUGCAAUCCCAAACGUGACUUAGCAUCAAGUUUAGGAUGGCGGUUGCUGAUAAAAUAAGUUAUUUCUAUUGUGAGGACGAAAUAAGUUGAUGAUUAAAAAAGUAUCUUGUUCAUGUUUAGUAAAUUUGAUUAUGAAUGUGCUGUAUUAUUUAAUGACUAAAAUAAACAUGAGUUUAAAUUGUCUUUUAUUUAUAUAUUAGAGCUUAUAGAAAAGUAAGAUAUAAUUAUUCUUUUCUUAAAAUAUUAAGGUUAUAAUAUGAACAUUUAAAAAGAUAUAGCAACUUAUUUAAUAAGUUGCUUAUAAAAAUAAUCUCUAUUCUGUUUUUAAAAGUUACAGUCAAAAUAGAGAAAAUUAUAAAAAAAAAACAACUUUUAACAAAGCCAUCAAACUUCAUUUUUAUCUAAACUUAUAAAAUAAGCUGCUUAUAGCAUUUCAAUCACAAUCCUGGGGCAUUAAUCUUUGUGUAGAAUCAGAUUAGACAUUGAAUAUUUCUAAUUUUCUACACAUAAAUUAAAAUAUGUAGACUAGAAAAACACCUUGACUUCGUAAGUCCACUUCAUUCUUUAAUUUCCGCAGCAUAUGUCAAGACGUUAUUUUCAAAUAAUUGCCGACUAGGAGAAGUCUUAUAGUCAAGGUGAUUACAUGAGCGUGUUAUGGAAUCGUAGUGGUUCCCUGCCCUCAACUAAAAAAGUGGCCUUCAAAAUUAAAUAUUAAAUAAUGUGGCAUUAUUAAUGUUAUAUAUAUAUAUAUAUAUAUGUGUGUGUGUGUGUGUCUGUGAGUGUGUAUAUAUGUAUAUAUAAUAUUAUAUAUAUAUAUAUAUUAGGUUUCAUGUUUUGCACGGGUUCGAACGGCAGUUGUAAUAUUAAAUAAUAUGGCAUUAUUAAAGUUAAAAAAAUAUCUAAAGUUAAUCAUAAAAAAAUAUUUUUUUUAUAAAAAAAUAAAUAAAGAUUAAAAUGGAUGUUAGGUAGCCCGUGAGUUUCCAUAGUUUGUAUGUUACAAAAGGACUUUUGUAACUAUUUUAAAAAAAUAAAAAAAUUAUUUUGAUUAUUCUGUCAAGUCACAGUAGUGUAGACAUCCUUUCUCUAUAGUUUAUUUAUAAUAUUAAAUUUAUACAAAGAUAUGGUUAGUCUCGUUUAUUUUCCUAUGAGAGUCAUAAUUUACACCAACAAUUCUUUGAGCUUCUUUUUCUUUUUAUUAUUUUGGGUAAUAUUUAAUAUCUUAAUAAUGCUAUUAAUUAUUUCUAAUAUUUUUCAUAUUAUCUCAUGUUUCUGCAAUGUUGUUCAAAUAGAUCUACACCACACAAAUACAAGCCAAUAAGGUUAUAUCUCCAUGAUUGAAUCCAUCUAGAGAAGACCUUGACUCACACUCUUUGAAAACGCGUAUUGGAAAUUAACACCGGGAGGUUGAAAAACAAUUAAUUCUUAUAUAAACGCUUUGCUGAGAAUCAAAUGUAGCUCAAUCAACCGAAAACCAUUAUAAACAUGGCAGCAGCAUCCACUGUUUCGAGAUUGGUGGUCAUUAUAAUUUUAAUUAAUGUUGGUGCUAUAAGUGAUACGACAAUAUUUGCAAUAGCAUCAGCUGCUGGAUUAUUGUCGUCACCCAAACUGUUAGAAAGGGAAGCUUUACUUGGUACAGGCUGGUGGGUCAACAAUUGCGCGACGGGCAACUACACGUCCUAUCAUUGUAAGUGGACUGGCAUCAGUUGCAAUUCAGCGGGAAGCGUAAUCGGGGUCAGCUUACUCUGGUAUGAAAAUGAUAACAUCACAGGAGAGCUCGGUCGUUUCAAAUUCUCUUGCUUUCCGAACCUCAGAAGUUUCAAAAUUCAUUCAAAUUAUUCUAUCUCUGGAAGCAUUCCAUCCGAAAUUACUGCCCUUUCAAUGCUCCAAACUCUUGAACUGCCCUCCAACAAUCUUACCGGUAAGCUACCAAACUUCACUAUAUAUAUAUAUAUAUAUAUAUAUAUGUAUGUAUGUAUGAAGUCGUGCUCAUGCUUGAAGCAGGAGUCUGUUUUUACAACACUGAAGAAGUUUUUUUUAUGAGGAUUUCUUUAUAAAUUUUAUUUAUAUGAGGAUAGUGAAUACUGAUCUCGUUUUUCAUAAAUCACAUGCGCAACAGGAAUUGUCCCUUCAGAGAUGGGGAGAUUGAGGAAUCUUGUCCACCUGGAUCUAUCUGAUAAUUACAUCUGGGGAUAUAUCCCUCCAACUCUUGGUCGUCUAAGCAAAUUGGAAAAUUUCAACCUGUCUUCUAAUGCCCUUGAUGGUAAUAUCCCUCCAACUCUUGGUCGUGUAAGCAAAUUGAAAAUUUUGAACUUGUCUUCUAACUCUCUUGUUGGUAAUAUCCCCCCCACUCUAGGUCAUCUAACCCAUCUAACUACUUUGGCUAUUGCUUGGAACCAAAUUAAUGGUUCCAUCCCAUUAAGAAUCGGGAGUUUGAAGGCUCUUCAAGUUCUUGACUUGUCCAUAAAUGAAAUUGAAGGUUCAAUGCCUUCAACACUUGGCCAUUUAAAGAGAUUGAGAAGUUUAGACUUGUCCGGUAACAAUCUUGUUGGUCCAAUCCCUUCGUCUGUGGGUCAUUUGACUCAGCUAACAACUUUUGAUAUGCACUCAAACCGAAUCAAUGGUUCCAUCCCAUUAGAAAUCGGGAAUUUGAACUUUCUUCAAGUUCUUGAUCUGUCCAACAACAAACUUGAAGGUCCAAUUCCUUCGACCAUAGCUAGUUUAGUCAACUUAACAUCUUUGUUCCUGUGCAAUAACAAUCUAACUGGAUCUAUUCCUUCAACACUUGGUCAUUUAAACAGGUUGACAAGUUUAGACUUGUCCAGUAACAAUCUUGUUGGUCCAAUCCCUUCGUCUGUGGGUCAUUUGACUCAGCUAACAACUUUUGAUAUGCACUCAAACCGAAUCAAUGGCUCCAUCCCAUUAGAAAUCGGGAAUUUGAACUUUCUUCAAGUUCUUGAUCUGUCCGACAACAAACUUGAAGGUCCAAUUCCUUCGACCAUAGCUAGUUUAGUCAACUUAACAUCUUUGUUCCUGUGCAAUAACAAUCUAACUGGAUCUAUUCCUUCAACACUUGGUCGUUUAAACAGGUUGACAAGUUUAGACUUGUCCAGUAACAAUCUUGUUGGUCCAAUCCCUUCGUCUGUGGGUCAUUUGACUCAGCUAACAACUUUUGAUAUGCACUCAAACCGAAUCAAUGGUUCCAUCCCAUUAGAAAUCGGGAAUUUGAAACAUGUUGAAGAUGUGUACCUGUUCAACAACAAACUUGAUGGUCCAAUUCCUCCACAACUCAUGAAUUGCUCAAAGCUGAGAGCAUUAUCAUUGAGUAAAAACUUGUUAAGUGGAAGCAUCCCAUCAGAGAUUGGCAAACUUCAAGAACUAUAUUAUCUUAAUCUGAGCCAUAACUCCAUUAAUGGUAAAAUACCUUCCCAGCUUGGAGCAAUUCCAAACAUAGAUACCGUGGACCUUUGCAUGAAUAACCUCUCCGGUAGUAUCCCUGAAUCUGUCACAAAUGUGCCACACUUAGAUGUGUCAGGCAACAAUUUGGAGGUAGAAAUCCCAAGUACUUCGGCAAAAGCGCCACCACCACAUCACAAAGGCAAUGACAAAAAGAUUGCCACUCGCUUGGUUGCAAUUAUUCUCCCUAUGGUCGCAUUGCUUGCCUUGAUAUUUGGAAUCUUGUUUGUCCGUAGACGAAGGGAUAAGAGAGUUGAACCAGCUGAGACAGGAGAAAUCACCAAGUGCGCUGAUGAGUUUGCAAUUUGGAAUUACGACGGUAGAAUUACAUUUCAAGACAUGAUUGAAGCUACUGAGGAUUUCCAUAUCAAAUACUGCAUUGGAACCGGAGGCUACGGCAGCGUUUACAGAGCACGACUACCCAGUGGAAAAGUAGUUGCUUUGAAGAAGCUUCACGGUUCAGAAACUGAGGAGUUAGCUUCCCUCGAGAGUUUCCGGAAUGAGGCUCGUCUACUGUCCCAAAUACGGCAUCGAAAUAUCGUAAAGCUUUACGGGUUUUGUUUGCACAGGAAAUGUAUGUUCUUAAUCUAUGAGUACAUGGAAAUGGGAAGCUUGUUCUGUGUUCUGCGCACAGAUGAGGAAGCUGUGGGGUUGGAUUGGGCUAAAAGGGUGAACGUUGUGAAGGGCAUGGCUCAUGCUUUGUCAUACUUGCAUCAUGACUGCACACCACCAAUUGUUCACCGGGACAUAUCAAGCAACAACAUUCUACUCAACUCAGAAUUAGAAGCAUUUGUUGCCGACUUUGGCGUUGCUAGAUUGUUAAAUUUUGACUCAUCCAAUCGAACUCUAUUGGCUGGCACUCAUGGAUAUAUUGCUCCAGGUAAUCUUCUAGCCAUUCUUCUUCUGCUUCUUUAAUUAUUCUUUUAAUUAAUUUUUAUAUACACUCUGUUAAGUAAUUUUUAAGCAGUUUUAUUUAGUUAGCUAUUUAGGUUCAAAUUUUGGAAUAGGUAAGGAGCUGAAAGAUAAAUUUAAACUUUGCCUACCCGUUUAACUUUUUUUUAAAAAAAAAAAAAUUACACACAGUUUAAAUAUCAAUUAAAAACAUAUGUUUUUCUGUCAUACCUUGCUGAAGAAGCUCAAAAAUAUAAACAAAUUGCUCUUGUUAUUAUAUAGGAAAUAUCACUAAUAAAGGCUUCUGUUUUCCUAUAGAACUGGCCUACACCAUGAUUGUGACGGAGAAAUCUGAUGUUUAUAGCUUCGGAGUGGUGGCACUAGAAGUACUAAUGGGAAAGCAUCCUGGAGAGCUCCUCUCAUCGUUAUCUUCGUCAUUAGAUAAAAAUAUUAAGCUGAUUGAUUUGCUGGACCCACGCCUCUCACCUCCGGUGGAUCAAAAGAUUAGGCAGGAUAUCAUUCUUGUUUCAACAGUAGCAUUUUCAUGCUUGCGUUCUCAACCAAAGUCUCGACCUACAAUGCAACUCGUGUCCAACGAAUUUAUCGCUCGCAAUAAGACACCAAUGCAAAAACCUUUUCAUGAAAUUUCAAUUUUGGAGCUUAGAAACCAAGAAAUGUAUUUGGUUGAUUAAUGUGAUAUCUAAUUAUGGAUACGUAUAUUUAACUGUUCAUGUAUGUGAUGGGAUUGCUUCUAAUCCUAAUAGAAUUUUCCAAUAAAGGUGACUGUUAAUUAGUUCUGAAAUUAUUAUUAGGUAGUAGCAAUGUAGCGUAUAUUAUGUGUUCGACGAAUUGUCUCCCUUAGUAUUAUUAAUUCCAUUUACACGUUCACUACCUAUAUAUAUUGAAUUGCAAUUAAACAUAUGUGCAAACUACGACAUUAAUGUCUCGGGUAAAGCUAGUACUUUCGCAGUUGGUUAGUCUAAUUGUCACCCCCUCAAUGAGCUGAAUUAAACAGGAUUUUAAGGAAUUUAAAGGUUGUAUCUCUACGAGUUAAAAGGGUAAAUUGUCAUUUUAAUUAUUAGUUUAUUUUACAAAUUAUAUAUAUAUAAACUUCAUGCAGAAUGAGGUUCUUGAUGUCGCGUUAUUUAAUAUAUUAGUUUUUUCACUCCUUUGUAAAUAUUCACACAAACAUAUACAAUAAUUUAGCUGAUCCGAUCAAACAUCCUUAGUUUUUUCACUCCUUUGUAAAUAUUCACACAUAUACAAUAAUUUAGCUGAUCCGAUCAAACAUCCUGGACCCACCGCUGAUGUUAGGAAGCUUCUGCAUAAGCUGUGGUUAGUGUCUUAGUGAUAUCCCGCCAACAACCUGCCAGCAAAAGAUAAACUAAUGUCAGGUCAUGAUCAAGAAAAAUUUGCUAAUGUCAGCAGAAGAAGUCAUAACCAUGCAUAUAUGAAGCACUUUCAAAGAGUAGAUCUAACAGUGUCUGGUUUUCAUUUUUGGAGUUUUUUACCAAUGACUGGAGAGUAGAGAACAACACAUGAUCCCCGUUACAGUAUUGUUGCUUGAAUUUAUAGGCUUCAUCAAUCAGUACCUUCAAAUCCAUAUAUAAUGAGAUGGAAGAAUGAAUUUAAAUUUAUUAAUGUCAUUUCCGAGUUUUAAAAUGAUAAAGCAAGUUGCAACUGAUUCAUUGAAAUUUAAAACAUUCAUAAUGAAGUGCAAGAGCAAAAUAAAAGUUAGGAGCUUUACCUUCAGCAUAACAAGGAGUCUGCUGGAUCAGGCCCACUUUAUCUGCCGCUAUAGACCACCACCUCUUCAUCUUCAGCCUUCUCAAUAACACGGUCUCUUGUUUCUUCAUUUGAUUCUUCGACCACUACAGCUUCACCUUCAACAUUCUCAGUAGGCUCUGAUG